This 1211-nucleotide long non-coding RNA is filed under the name Selaginella moellendorffii. Its description in RNAcentral is "long non-coding RNA (SMOE_LNC002061)". Lineage: Eukaryota; Viridiplantae; Streptophyta; Lycopodiopsida; Selaginellales; Selaginellaceae. The record is from RNAcentral.
CCCUUCCUCCCGGCACCGGUAACAAAUGACGACCCCGCGGGGUCGUCGACUCCACCCGCUUUGCUGCUGAUAUGCCGGGACUUGCUGCAAGUUUCCCUGGUUCACUGGCUCCACAGCAUACACCGGGUAAGCUCCCUGUUGAGGCUGAGUCGUUUGGGGCUGCACAUAGAAUCCAGCACCCAUCUGCUGGCCCGGCAAGGUCUGGUACACGGGCUGAGCUGCCAUUGGUCCUACCGCUGGAACUUGCUGCUCCCUCAUUCUAGCAAAGCAGUUCUCAGUGGUGUGAUUUGUUCGCCGACAGUAACCACAGCGAGGUCGAGCUGGCUGGGGAUUCUGACACUCAUUGGGGUAGUGCCCAUAGCCCUUGCAUCGCACGCACCAAAUCUCGGCGCGGUCCACCACCUUCCGAGGUUGCGCCUCAGUUUGGCCUCUCACCAAGUUCACUUGUAGCUCUGCCAUCUGCUUGGUGAGGGUUUCCACUACAUCUUCUUUCACCUUUGCCAGUUGUGACUCGAAGUUUGGUAGGUGUUGACUCGUCAUUGGAAUUGACAGAGCUGGAGCCGCCGGUACUGCUGGUAACAGAGUCGACUGGAGCUGCAACUGGGGCUGGGGCAUAUACUGAACCCCCGCCAUCACACUUGGGUAAGCUCCAGACGCGUAGGAUGACCUCGAUCCCAGCCUCGCUUGCUCCCACGUCGCUGCAUGCUCGAUAGCUGCAUUCAAAUCUUGAGGUCUGUGAAUUUUCACGUGGAAACUGAGCUCGUAGGGCAGCCCGUUGAGAUAACAACGGACUUGAUCUUCUGCAGGUGGAGCCGGAUUCUUUCUCUGCAGUAGCGCUCUGUACCUCCGAGUAUAGUCCUGCAACGUCUCUCCUGGCAGGAGCUGAAUAGAAUUCAACUCCUCGGUGAUCCGGGUACUAAACCCGAAUGGCCUGAACUGCCCCAGAAAUGCUCUUUUCAACGCAUCCCAGGUGGCAAAUGCUGGUUGUGCUCCCGCAACAACAGCAGAAGCUUGAGCGUACCAAUCCAUCGCCGGACCGGAGAGCGUUGUGGGAAACCACCUCAGCCUCGCUGCAUCCGCCUGCUCUUGAUUUGCCAAGCUCACCACCUCGAACGCCGUGAUAUGAGAAUCUGGAUCGCUCAGGUUGGUGAACUUUUGAUAUUUUUCUCUUCCUCCUCCUGCUGCCGGCUGAGCCAUAUUGUUUGGUGGCG